Long non-coding RNA from Stegodyphus dumicola, 322 nucleotides. The record is from RefSeq and is a predicted model, not a curated record. NCBI's taxonomy places the organism in Eukaryota, Metazoa, Arthropoda, Arachnida, Araneae, Eresidae.
AAGUUUAUAAUAUUUUGGAUCAUAUUAUGUAUUUUGUAUAUGUUUAGGCUCAUGCAGAGAUAAAAUACAGUAAUGAACUUUGUAAAUACAGCAUUGAAGAUUUAGGAAGUCAAAAUGGCACUUUUAUAAAUGAUGUGAGACUUUCCAAGUCUAAAGAAAAAAGUGAACCCCAUAUAUUAACCCAUGGAGAUAUAUUAGCUUUAGGUUCCUGCAGAUUCUUGCUUCAUAUACAUGUCGGUUUUGAAACUUGUAAUGAAUGCGAGCCUGGUCAAGUUUUAGCUGAAAUUUCUGCUCAAGAAAGACCUGAAGUUGUAUUUAAAAC